RNAcentral lists this ribosomal RNA (468 nucleotides) under uncultured bacterium. Its description in RNAcentral is "partial 16S ribosomal RNA". It matches the Rfam family "Bacterial small subunit ribosomal RNA", at positions 28 to 507 of the family's 1533-position model. The record is from RNAcentral.
GACGAACGCUGGCGGCGUGCUUAACACAUGCAAGUCGAACGGAAAGGCCCUGCUUUUGUGGGGUGCUCGAGUGGCGAACGGGUGUGUAACACGUGUGUAACCUGCCCUUGACUUUGGGAUAACUUCAGGAAACUGGGGCUAAUACCGGAUAGGAGCUCCUGCUGCAUGGUGGGGGUUGGAAAGUUUCGGCGGUUGGGGAUGGACUCGCGGCUUAUCAGCUUGUUGGUGGGGUAGUGGCUUACCAAGGCUUUGACGGGUAGCCGGCCUGAGAGGGUGACCGGCCACAUUGGGACUGAGAUACGGCCCAGACUCCUACGGGAGGCAGCAGUGGGGAAUAUUGCACGAUGGGCGGAAGCCUGAUGCAGCAACGCCGCGUGCGGGAUGACGGCCUUCGGGUUGUAAACCGCUUUCGCCUGUGACGAAGCGUGAGUGACGGUAAUGGGUAAAGAAGCACCGGCUAACUACGUG